This 65-nucleotide transfer RNA is filed under the name Gromphadorhina portentosa (giant Madagascar hissing cockroach). RNAcentral's name for it is "tRNA-Ile". Lineage: Eukaryota; Metazoa; Arthropoda; Insecta; Blattodea; Blaberidae. The record is from RNAcentral. RNAcentral also lists the same sequence under 2 other names.
AGUAAAGUGCCUGAAAAAAGGAUUAUCGUGAUAGGGUAAAAAAUGUAAUGCAUUUACCUUUACUA